GCUUGUCUCAAAGAUUAAGCCAUGCAUGUCUAAGUGUAAAUAAGUCUAUACUGUGAAACUGCGAAUGGCUCAUUAAAUCAGUUAUCGUUUAUUUGAUGAUCUCUUACUACUUGGAUAACCGUAGUAAUUCUAGAGCUAAUACAUGCAUGAACCCCCGACUUUUGAAGGGGUGUAUUUAUUAGAUUGAAACCAAUGCGGGUUCCCCGGUAUUUGGUGAUUCAUAAUAACUUUCGGAUCGACUUCGGUCGAUGCAUCAUUCAAGUUUCUGCCCUAUCAGCUUUGGAUGGUAGGGUAUUGGCCUACCAUGGCUUUAACGGGUAACGGAGAAUUAGGGUUCGAUUCCGGAGAGGGAGCCUGAGAAAUGGCUACCACAUCCAAGGAAGGCAGCAGG
Molecule: ribosomal RNA, 391 nt
Filed under: uncultured Chrysophyceae
Lineage: Eukaryota; Chrysophyceae
Description: partial small subunit ribosomal RNA
Rfam family: Eukaryotic small subunit ribosomal RNA
Source: RNAcentral